Molecule: ribosomal RNA, 253 nt
Filed under: uncultured bacterium
Lineage: Bacteria
Description: partial 16S ribosomal RNA
Rfam family: Bacterial small subunit ribosomal RNA
Source: RNAcentral
UACGUAGGGUGCAAGCGUUAAUCGGAAUUACUGGGCGUAAAGCGUGCGCAGGCGGUUAUGUAAGACAGAUGUGAAAUCCCCGGGCUUAACCUGGGAAUUGCAUUAGUGACUGCAUAGCUAGAGUGCGGCAGAGGGGGAUGGAAUUCCGCGUGUAGCAGUGAAAUGCGUAGAUAUGCGGAGGAACACCGAUGGCGAAGGCAAUCCCCUGGGCCUGCACUGACGCUCAUGCACGAAAGCGUGGGGAGCAAACAGG